RNAcentral lists this ribosomal RNA (253 nucleotides) under uncultured bacterium. Its description in RNAcentral is "partial 16S ribosomal RNA". It matches the Rfam family "Bacterial small subunit ribosomal RNA", at positions 524 to 776 of the family's 1533-position model. The record is from RNAcentral.
UACGAAGGGGGCGAGCGUUGUUCGGAUUUACUGGGCGUAAAGGGCGCGUAGGCGGCCCUGUUUGUCGCGUGUGAAAGCCCCGGGCUCAACCUGGGAACAGCAUUUGAGACUGGAGGACUUGAGGACGGGAGAGGAGAGUGGAAUUCCCAGUGUAGCGGUGAAAUGCGUAGAUAUUGGGAGGAACACCAGUGGCGAAGGCGGUCCCCUGGGCCGGAACUGACGCUGAGGCGCGAAAGCGUGGGUAGCAAACGGG